CAAAUAAUAUCUUUCCCCAAAACUGAGCUUCUCACCUGAAGUGCUUUGCAGUUCUCAGUAUUCCUUAAAAUCUUAAAUUUGAUUAUUUUCAGCUGAACAGAGUCUUGUUUACCUUCUGCAGGGAUUAUUCUAGCAACUCCUGAAAUGCAAAACCUUCUGUGGCAAGAGAGAAGAGGCAGUCUUGUGACUACAGCUCUGACCUGAUGGACAUGCUCUCUUCAAGUAGGACUUCAUUCAGGUAGUAAGACCAAGAACUGCAUUAAAAAACAGGAAGAUUGGCCCUAGGCAGACAGAUGACAGAAAUACAACAGCGCACAAGAGCCCAGUCUCAGUUCUCACACGUAUGCUAGUUAACACUUUGAUGGCUGAGUUACAUUCUAAGCAAAUCUAAGCUGCUUAAAUAUAAAAGCCUGAUUUGGAAAGCUAUUGUCUGGAGAUUGUAUUUGCAUAACAACAAAUAGAGUCAACCUACAUUGUCCAGUGUUGAAGGAAAAAUAACCUAUGGAGAAAAGGAAGGCAAUUUGCCCUGCAGUGAGUCAUCAGGCUCUGCUGUGCUGAAAGAAGACGACAUUUUUGAGGAAAAGGCUGCUGGCAUAUAUCUAUUGCAGAGGAGAAGAAACAUAUAGUGUGGGAAUGGUCAUACCAGGAGAACUGUCAAAGAAUUGGGGAAAAACAGCAGUGAAGAGAUAUCCAGAAAAUCAUCAUGAUUCUCUGCAAGAUCCUUUGAGGAACUCCACUACAAGAAAACAAAAAUGGUGUGCUCUUGAGAGGUGAUAUUUUUCUAUUGGAUCUCAGUACUUCAUCAUCUGGUUUGGCAGCCCAUGUCAGUUAUGAGAGUAUAUUUGGUAUGAGCAUCCCAUUUCAUCAGUUAGGAAGUAACCAUGUGUUAUAACCUGUUGUUGACUUAUACAUCCUGGUUCCUCUGGAAAAUAUGAAAUGAAGCUGUU
This 947-nucleotide long non-coding RNA is filed under the name Phasianus colchicus (ring-necked pheasant). RNAcentral's name for it is "lncRNA (ENSPCLG00000001407.1)". The record is from RNAcentral. Lineage: Eukaryota; Metazoa; Chordata; Aves; Galliformes; Phasianidae.